CUUGAUAGCCCCCUACACCCACUAUCCGCCCGGGUACUACGAGCACUAGCUUAAAACCCAAAGGACUUGGCGGUGCUUUAGAUCCACCUAGAGGAGCCUGUUCUAGAACCGAUAACCCCCGUUAAACCUCACCCUCUCUUGUUCUUCCCGUCUAUAUACCGCCGUCGUCAGCUUACCCUAUGAAGGAACCACAGUAAGCAAAACUAGCACAACUCAAAACGCCAGGUCGAGGUGUAGCAUAUGAGAGGGGAAGAAAUGGGCUACAUUCCCUGCCACAGGGAAUACGAACAAUGUAAUGAAACAUGCAUUAGAAGGAGGAUUUAGCAGUAAGCAGAAAAUAGAGCG
RNAcentral lists this ribosomal RNA (345 nucleotides) under Thoracochromis brauschi. RNAcentral's name for it is "partial 12S ribosomal RNA". It matches the Rfam family "Bacterial small subunit ribosomal RNA", at positions 875 to 1356 of the family's 1533-position model. The record is from RNAcentral. Lineage: Eukaryota; Metazoa; Chordata; Actinopteri; Cichliformes; Cichlidae.